CCUACGGGUGGCAGCAGUGAGGAAUAUUGGUCAAUGGACGAGAGUCUGAACCAGCCAAGUAGCGUGAAGGAUGACUGCCCUAUGGGUUGUAAACUUCUUUUAUAUGGGAAUAAAAUGUUCCACGUGUGGGAUUUUGUAUGUACCAUAUGAAUAAGGAUCGGCUAACUCCGUGCCAGCAGCCGCAGUAAUACGGAGGAUCCGCGCGUUAUCCGGAUUUAUUGGGUUUAAAGGGAGCGUAGGUGGAUUGUUAAGUCAGUUGUGAAAGUUUGCGGCUCAACCGUAAAAUUGCAGUUGAAACUGGCAGUCUUGAGUACAGUAGAGGUGGGCGGAAUUCGUGGUGUAGCGGUGAAAUGCUUAGAUAUCACGAAGAACUCCGAUUGCGAAGGCAGUUCACUGGACUGCAACUGACACUGAGGCUCGAAAGUGUGGGUAUCAAACAGGAUUAGAUACCCUAGUAGUC
RNAcentral lists this ribosomal RNA (460 nucleotides) under uncultured bacterium. RNAcentral's name for it is "partial 16S ribosomal RNA". It matches the Rfam family "Bacterial small subunit ribosomal RNA", at positions 338 to 795 of the family's 1533-position model. The record is from RNAcentral.